This 344-nucleotide ribosomal RNA is filed under the name uncultured Anoxybacillus sp. RNAcentral describes it as "bacterial SSU rRNA". It matches the Rfam family "Bacterial small subunit ribosomal RNA", at positions 1037 to 1382 of the family's 1533-position model. Lineage: Bacteria; Bacillati; Bacillota; Bacilli; Caryophanales; Anoxybacillaceae. The record is from RNAcentral.
GGUGGUGCAUGGUUGUCGUCAGCUCGUGUCGUGAGAUGUUGGGUUAAGUCCCGCAACGAGCGCAACCCUCGACCUUAGUUGCCAGCAUUCAGUUGGGCACUCUAAGGUGACUGCCGGCUAAAAGUCGGAGGAAGGUGGGGAUGACGUCAAAUCAUCAUGCCCCUUAUGACCUGGGCUACACACGUGCUACGAUGGGCGGUACAAAGGGUCGCGAACCCGCGAGGGGGAGCCAAUCCCAAAAAGCCGCUCUCAGUUCGGAUUGCAGGCUGCAACUCGCCUGCAUGAAGCCGGAAUCGCUAGUAAUCGCGGAUCAGCAUGCCGCGGUGAAUACGUUCCCGGGCCUU